ACGAAGGGGGCUAGCGUUGUUCGGAAUCACUGGGCGUAAAGGGCGCGUAGGCGGCUUUGUAAGUCGGGGGUGAAAGCCUGUGGCUCAACCACAGAAUUGCCUUCGAUACUGCAUGGCUUGAGACCGGAAGAGGUUAGUGGAACUGCGAGUGUAGAGGUGAAAUUCGUAGAUAUUCGCAAGAACACCAGUGGCGAAGGCGGCUCACUGGCUCGUUUCUGACGCUCAGGCGCGACAGCGUGGGGAUCAAACAGGA
Molecule: ribosomal RNA, 253 nt
Filed under: uncultured prokaryote
Description: partial 16S ribosomal RNA
Rfam family: Bacterial small subunit ribosomal RNA
Source: RNAcentral